RNAcentral lists this small nuclear RNA (23 nucleotides) under Arabidopsis thaliana (thale cress). RNAcentral's name for it is "snRNA_18697". The record is from RNAcentral. Lineage: Eukaryota; Viridiplantae; Streptophyta; Magnoliopsida; Brassicales; Brassicaceae.
UCUCUCAUAUUAUUUUUAUUCUC